UUCCACAUUCUGGAUUUGUCCUUGUGCUAGUGUUUAACACACCCCUCCUCUCCUAUAUUUCUUGUGUGUUGGUGGUUAGAUUUAGAAACCUGAUUAGAUUCAUGUCCCACAUUUUUGGCAAGAAAAAUUCCCAGGUGGUUCUGUGAACUUCUUCUUGCGUCACAUCAGGCACUUGGUGUCUGGUGCCCCAGUUGUAGUGAUGUGAAGAUUGAUUAGCCAUCUGCAGCACUCCUAACAACCUCUCUUGAUCGCAUCCUGGGAUCACUGCCCUGGAAACAUCCUCUCCCUUUUCUUAGCCCCUGCUUUCUUCCCUUGCCUGCCUGGCUUCUAUGCUCCCAAGCCCAUCUUCUAGGCACCCAGAUUGAGGCUCCACGGCAAGCAGCAGGGACAGGGGCAGCAGGUAGCCUGACCCCAGGAAAGAGAUGUGGGUGACCUUGCAUGUCUGCAGGUUACAUCCACUACCAGCCUGCCCAGGACCGGCUGCAACCCCACCUCCUGGAGAUGCUGAUUCAGCUGCCGGCCAACUCAGUCACCAAGGUUUCCAUCCAGUUUGAGCGGGCGCUGCUGAAGUGGACCGAGUACACGCCAGAUCCUAACCAUGGCUUCUAUGUCAGGUGGGCUCCACCCCCACAGGCCACCUCUCAUCCCCCUGACCUAUCCUCUCUGCUGCUUACCCCUUGAUAGGGGAGCCAGAUGGGAACACGGGCCAUCUCUCUGCUUCUCUGUAGCCCAUCUGUCCUCAGCGCCCUUGUGCCCAGCAUGGUAGCAGCCAAGCCAGUGGACUGGGAAGAGAGUCCCCUCUUCAACAGCUUGUUCCCAGUCUCUGAUGGCUCUAACUACUUUGUGCGGCUCUACACGGAGCCGCUGCUGGUGAACCUGCCGACACCGGACUUCAGCAUGCCCUACAACGUGAUCUGCCUCACGUGCACUGUGGUGGCCGUGUGCUAUGGCUCCUUCUACAAUCUCCUCACCCGAACCUUCCACAUCGAGGAGCCCCGCACAGGUGGCCUGGCCAAGCGGCUGGCCAACCUUAUCCGGCGUGCCCGAGGUGUCCCCCCACUCUGAUUCUUGCCCUUUCCAGCAGCUGCAGCUGCCGUUUCUCUCUGGGGAGGGGAGCCCAAGGGCUGUUUCUGCCACUUGCUCUCCUCAGAGUUGGCUUUUGAACCAAAGUGCCCUGGACCAGGUCAGGGCCUACAGCUGUGCUGUCCAGUACAGGAGCCACGAGCCAAAUGUGGCAUUUGAAUUUGAAUUAACUUAGAAAUUCAUUUCCUCACCUGUAGUGGCCACCUCUAUAUUGAGGUGCUCAAUAAGCAAAAGUGGUCAGUGGCUGCUGUAUUGGACAGCACAGAAAAAGAUUUCCAUCACCACAGAAAGGUCGGCUGGCAGCACUGGCCAAGGUGAUGGGGUGUGCUGCACAG
This 1418-nucleotide small RNA is filed under the name Pan troglodytes (chimpanzee). RNAcentral's name for it is "retained intron". The record is from RNAcentral. Lineage: Eukaryota; Metazoa; Chordata; Mammalia; Primates; Hominidae.